AAAUAACCUCUUCACCUAUUGCCUCAACACCAAUAGAAGUAGCUGUUUGUGAGGACCGAGUGCCAUACCUUCUCUUUUCAAUAAUUACAUAAACUUGUGAGCACGAAUUAAUUUUCAAUCUCAUCUUGAGUUAGGUCUACAUAGGGAUUGGCAUCCCUUGGAUCAUCAGCAUUAAUACUAAUGAUUGUUGGCUUAGAAGAUGUAGCAAGAAAACAACCUCUGGGCUUAUAUCUACAUUUAUUUUGUGUUCAACACAAACUUCCAUGGAAUCCUUUCCCUUGACUACCUCCAACUUUCCCAAUACAUCCUUGCCACAGUUAAAAGAUUUCGAGCUACUUUUGAAGCUCUAUCUGGGCACUAACUUGUAGAAUUUGGUAUAAUUUUUGUAUCUUCGUUAUUCCAUCGUAUCCUCUAUCUUUGUUAUACUCAUCCU
This 433-nucleotide long non-coding RNA is filed under the name Elaeis guineensis (African oil palm). RNAcentral's name for it is "long non-coding RNA (EGUI_LNC063624)". The record is from RNAcentral. Lineage: Eukaryota; Viridiplantae; Streptophyta; Magnoliopsida; Arecales; Arecaceae.